This 405-nucleotide unclassified non-coding RNA is filed under the name soil metagenome. RNAcentral's name for it is "partial contains 5.8S ribosomal RNA, internal transcribed spacer 2, and large subunit ribosomal RNA". The stretch from base 3 to 120 matches the Rfam family "5.8S ribosomal RNA", at positions 38 to 154 of the family's 154-position model. The record is from RNAcentral.
GAGAAGAACGUAGCGAAAUGCGAUAAGUAAUGUGAAUUGCAGAAUUCAGUGAAUCAUCGAAUCUUUGAACGCACCUUGCGCCCUUUGGCCAUUCCGAAGGGCAUGCCUGUUUGAGUAUCAUGAACACCUCAACUCUUCAUGGUUUUCCAUGAUGAGCUUGGACUUUGGGGGUCUUGCUGGCCUGUGGGUCGGCUCCUCUCAAAUGAAUCAGCUUGCCGGUUUUUGGUGGGCAUCACAGGUGUGAUAACUAUCUACGCUUGUGGUUUUCCACCAGGGUAACCUUCAGCAGUGGAGGUUCACUGGAGCUUACAAAUGUCUCUCCUCUGUGAGGACAGCCCUUUGAAUGUUUGAUCUCAAAUCAGGUAGGACUACCCGCUGAACUUAAGCAUAUCAAUAAGCGGAGGA